CGCCCCCCCUCCCCCCCCCCAAAUCGCCUCCAUCUCUCUCUUUGCAACUCCCCAAUCGCCUCCAUCUCUAUUUUCGUUCUCAAUUCUAAACUUGCCCCCUCUCUCUCUCUCUCUGCAACUCCCCAAUCGCCUCCAUCUCUAUUCUCGGUCUCAACUCUGAACUUGCCCCCUCUCUCUCUCUGCAACUCCCCUAUCGCGCGCCUCCAUCUCUGUUCUCGUUCUCAACUUUAAACUUGCCCCCUCUCUAUCUCUGCAACUCCCCAAUUGCCUCCAUCUCUAUUGUCUUUUCUCAACUCUGAACUUCCCCCCCCUGCAACUGCUAACUAGAAAAUCUACAAGAAUCAGAAGUUCAAAACCCAUAUAUUUCAGUUUAUCUAUCUGUCUGCACGAAUCAAAAGUUCAAAACCUAUUAUCUAAUCAAAACCUAUAUCUGAUAUGCCAGAUUGUUCAAAAAAUCAAAACCCAUAUCUUUCAGUUUCCAUCGCCCGCUGUUCCAGUUCAGGUUCGCCGUUCGCAAGUGAGGAAGAAGCAAGGAUGAAAAUCUACUCCGUCUCAACUAGACACUAUUAUGCAUUUGGAGCCCUUGUAUCUGAAGAACUUUCAUACAAGAUCAAAGGAACUUCAUGUACUUGAUGUUUGGUUUCUGCUAUUGUUUAUUGAAAUUGGGAUUUCUAAGCAUUGGUGUUUGCGCAUUUACUUGUUGAUCCGCUACAGAUCGAUACUGAUGGUUAGUGUUGCAGUUGCAUUGCGGGAGAUUGGUUACAAAGUUGUGCUGAGUUCCUCUCUCUCCCCUCUUUCUCUCUCUAACAAUCUCCAGCCGCCAUCCUCAACUUCUUCAAACCAUAACCAUUAUCUAAUACAAUAAUUACCAAAAUCCAAACGUCCAAAACGAAAAGUGAUGAAAAAACACAUACCUAUGGGCAUGAAUCACACCCAAUUACGCAAAAUUACACGCACAAAAUCUUCAAAUUUUAAGAAUUACCCAAAAACCAAGUUCAGUCCGGUGAAGUCCACUCCAGUUCCCCUCCUUGCAGCAUCACGCCGAACAGACCCACAUAAUCCAAACAGUACGAAAAGUGAUGAAAAAACACAUACCUAUGGGCAUGAAUCACAUCCAAUUAGGCAAAAUUACACACAAGCACAAAAUCUUCAAAUUUUAAGAAUUACCCAAAAACCAAGUUCAGUCCGGUGAAGUCCACUCCAGUUCCCCUCCUUGCAGCAUCACGCCGAACAGACCCACAUCCCGCCGGCCUUGCAUCCUUCUUGCUCGCCAUCAUCCUCGCCGCCAUCCUCAUGUUCGCCGGUCACAUCCCAUCUCUUGGCAGAUUUCGUCCCUGUGGUUGAUACUAAAGGUAGAAAUGCAUUGCCUCUUGUAAAACCUGGUUGACCUCCUCAUGAUCUCCAUCUCUUCUCUUUCGUUGUCUGUUGGAGCAUUUCUCCAUAUUGGAAGCUUGAAUUGGUUGUCCAGAAGUUUAAGUUUAGCCAGCUACGCAGGUUUGAAACACUCUUCAAUGAAAAUAAUAUAUCUUCUUAUUUGUGCAAGUAUUGAUCCAUCUCUUCAAUGAAAAGCAACAACAAAUAAAGUGACCAACCAAUAAAAUAUGAAAUUUCUUUUUUCAGAAAUUGAAUAUGAAUAUCUUUCCAUACAUGAUAAAAACAAUUAUUAAGAUGUGAAACUAACACAAAAUUAAAAUGCAUUUGAAGAGGCAUACCUCCAUUUUUUCCCCUACUCCACUCAUUCCCAUCA
Molecule: long non-coding RNA, 1747 nt
Organism: Cornus florida
Lineage: Eukaryota; Viridiplantae; Streptophyta; Magnoliopsida; Cornales; Cornaceae
Exons: 4
Source: RefSeq, a predicted model, not a curated record